Molecule: ribosomal RNA, 498 nt
Filed under: uncultured bacterium
Lineage: Bacteria
Description: partial 16S ribosomal RNA
Rfam family: Bacterial small subunit ribosomal RNA
Source: RNAcentral
GACGAACGCUGGCGGCGUGCCUAAUACAUGCAAGUCGAACGAGAGCGCCCGGUGCUUGCACUGGUCAAUCUAGUGGCGAACGGGUGAGUAACACGUGGGUAACCUGCCCAUCAGAGGGGGAUAACAUCCGGAAACGGAUGCUAAAACCGCAUAGGUCUUCGAGCCGCAUGGCUUGAAGAGGAAAAGAGGCGCACGCUUCUGCUGAUGGAUGUACCCGCGGUGCAUUAGCUAGUUGGUGAGGUAACGGCUCACCAAGGCCGUGAUGCAUAGCCGACCUGAGAGGGUGAUCGGCCACAUUGGAACUGAGACACGGCCCAAACUCCUAAGGGAGGCAGCAGUAGGGAAUCUUCCGCAAUGGACGCAAGUCUGACGGAGCAACGCCGCGUGAGUGAAGAAGGUUUUCGGAUCGUAAAACUCUGUUGUUAGAGAAGAACAAGUGCUAGAGUAACUGUUAGCGCCUUGACGGUAGCUAACCAGAAAGCCACGGCUAACUACGUG